UAGAGUUUUCUAAACUCCCAACCCAUGUGAACUUACCAUUGUUGCCUCGGCAGAGGCUACCCGGUACACCUUACCCUGGAACGGCCUACCCUGUAGCGCCUUACCCUGGAACGGCUUACCCUGUAGCGGCUGCCGGUGGACUACUAAACUCUUGUUAUUUUAUUGUAAUCUGAGCGUCUUAUUUUAAUAAGUCA
Molecule: unclassified non-coding RNA, 194 nt
Filed under: uncultured Pestalotiopsis
Lineage: Eukaryota; Fungi; Ascomycota; Sordariomycetes; Amphisphaeriales; Amphisphaeriaceae
Description: sequence contains ITS1
Source: RNAcentral